GGAAUCUUCUCAAUCUCCGUCCCGAAUAAUAGCCAAGAAUUUGAGACCCGUGUGCCAUAUUGACCCAAAUCGACCGAGUAGCCGGCGCGAAUCCCGAUCGAGACACUCUGAUUAAGGGAUUACGCCAGCCAUUGACUUCCAAAGGAUGGGCCGGGCUAGCCCGCC
Molecule: long non-coding RNA, 165 nt
Organism: Hippocampus comes (tiger tail seahorse)
Lineage: Eukaryota; Metazoa; Chordata; Actinopteri; Syngnathiformes; Syngnathidae
Exons: 2
Source: RefSeq, a predicted model, not a curated record